GAUGAACGCUGGCGGCGUGCCUAAUACAUGCAAGUCGAGCGAACAGACGAGGAGCUUGCUCCUCUGACGUUAGCGGCGGACGGGUGAGUAACACGUGGAUAACCUACCUAUAAGACUGGGAUAACUUCGGGAAACCGGAGCUAAUACCGGAUAAUAUAUUGAACCGCAUGGUUCAAUAGUGAAAGACGGUUUUGCUGUCACUUAUAGAUGGAUCCGCGCCGCAUUAGCUAGUUGGUAAGGUAACGGCUUACCAAGGCAACGAUGCGUAGCCGACCUGAGAGGGUGAUCGGCCACACUGGAACUGAGACACGGUCCAGACGCCUACGGGAGGCAGCAGUAGGGAAUCUUACGCAAUGGGCGAAAGCCUGACGGAGCAGCGCCGCGUGAGUGAUGAAGGUCUUCGGAUCGUAAAACUCUGUUAUUAGGGAAGAACAAAUGUGUAAGUAACUAUGCACGUCUUGACGGUACCUAAUCAGAAAGCCACGGCUAACUACGUG
Molecule: ribosomal RNA, 497 nt
Filed under: uncultured bacterium
Lineage: Bacteria
Description: partial 16S ribosomal RNA
Rfam family: Bacterial small subunit ribosomal RNA
Source: RNAcentral